UCAAUGUAUUCAUCAAACUUAUUCUUGGCUACUCUUCUUUUUUUCUUUUGCGGUUCUGUGUAGGCUGCAAUUCCAUCAUAGAUUUUUUUUUCCUAGUACGGGGUUAUUUUUUUUUUAUUUCUCGGGUGAAUGUUUCUUUUCUUCCUCUUGAGUUGGCUCUUCUUCAAUUUCUCCAAUAUUGAUGUUUUCCAUUGGUUGCGUCUUUUGGAUUGCAUUUGCUAAAAUAUUGAGAUUUCCCCGUUGAUCGAAUUUUAUAGAGUUGAGCAUCGUCACGAAGCUCAUUUCUGUGUACGCUUGUG
RNAcentral lists this long non-coding RNA (299 nucleotides) under Salvia miltiorrhiza (redroot sage). Its description in RNAcentral is "long non-coding RNA (SMIL_LNC012859)". Lineage: Eukaryota; Viridiplantae; Streptophyta; Magnoliopsida; Lamiales; Lamiaceae. The record is from RNAcentral.